Molecule: ribosomal RNA, 449 nt
Filed under: uncultured bacterium
Lineage: Bacteria
Description: bacterial SSU rRNA
Rfam family: Bacterial small subunit ribosomal RNA
Source: RNAcentral
AACGAACGCUGGCAGCGUGCCUUAAGCAUGCAAGUCGAACGGUGAUAGCACUUCGCUAUCAUAGUGGCGCACGGGUGAGUAACGCGUGGUUAAUUGACCUAUAGACGCGAAUAGCCGUAAGAAAUUACGGGUAAUGCGCGAUAAUCCCUACGGGGGAAACGCAGAAAUGCGCUAAAGGAGAUGACUGCGUCCCAUCAGGUAGUUGGCAGGGUAAGAGCCUACCAAGCCUAUGACGGGUAGCCGGCCUGAGAGGGUGUACGGCCACAUUGGGACUGAGACACGGCCCAGACUCCUACGGGAGGCAGCAGCUAGGAAUUUUCCGCAAGUGGGGGAAACCCUGACGGAGCGACGCCGCGUUGAGGAAGAAGGCCUUCGGGUUAGUAAAACUCUGUCUUCGAGGGAAGAAAAAAAUGACGGUACCUGAGGAGGAAGCCCCGGCUAACUACGUG